GGCUUAUUAGUGUAGUGGUUAGCACGCGGGAUUUUGACUCUGCGCAAAUGGCUUCCCGAGUCGCAGGUUCGAGCCCUGCAUAAGCCU
Molecule: transfer RNA, 87 nt
Filed under: Coniochaeta sp. 2T2.1
Lineage: Eukaryota; Fungi; Ascomycota; Sordariomycetes; Coniochaetales; Coniochaetaceae
Rfam family: tRNA
About the family: Transfer RNA (tRNA) molecules are approximately 80 nucleotides in length.
Source: Rfam by way of RNAcentral